Molecule: microRNA precursor, 107 nt
Organism: Prunus persica (peach)
Lineage: Eukaryota; Viridiplantae; Streptophyta; Magnoliopsida; Rosales; Rosaceae
Rfam family: MIR394 microRNA precursor family
Source: Rfam
CUUACAGAGUUUAUUGGCAUUCUGUCCACCUCCUCUCUUUUUCACUCCCUGUGUAUUAGAAGAUAGUACGUGUGGAGGUGGGCAUACUGCCAACUGAGCUCUGUUGG